This 72-nucleotide transfer RNA is filed under the name Marmota marmota marmota (Alpine marmot). It matches the Rfam family "tRNA". From Rfam's summary of the family: Transfer RNA (tRNA) molecules are approximately 80 nucleotides in length. Their secondary structure includes four short double-helical elements and three loops (D, anti-codon, and T loops). The record is from Rfam by way of RNAcentral. RNAcentral also lists the same sequence under 1 other name. Lineage: Eukaryota; Metazoa; Chordata; Mammalia; Rodentia; Sciuridae.
GGAGGUGUAGUUUAGUAGUUGAUCAUAUACCUAGCAUGUAUAAAGCCCUGGGUUCAAUCCCCAGCAUUGCAA